UCUCCUUUAGGCCAACCCACUGCUUCAGCCCAAAGAUUAUGGCUGAGUUGCCCGUAUCUCUCUAGAUGCCAGAGGCUCCUAACCUUGGCCCAAGAGGCCCCAGUCCAGGUGUUCCACUAGAUGAAGAACAUGUAUUAUUUUUAAUGAGAUAUUUCAGACAUACGAAAAAGUCCAGAGAAUAUACAGAACACCUGUGUACCCACCAAAAAACAAUACAAAAAUAAAGUAUUUUUCUUUAUUUCACAUUUCCCUCCUUCUCCUCCCAGAGGUAACUACUGUUUGGCUCUGGUCUUUAUUGUUCUUAAGCAUUUUUACUACAUAUAUUAGUAGACAAUAUAUAGUAUUCUUUUGCAAAGUUAAAAAAUUUUAUAUAAAUGCUAUCAUUCUCUAUGUAUCCUUCUGCAACUUGCUUUUUUCCCCUUCAACAUCAUAUUUGUGAGAUUUAUCCAGGUUAAUUCAUGUAAUGAGAUACAAUACUUGAAGAAGCAUCUCACUUUCUUCCUGUCUCUGGUCACUCUUGCUCUUGGGUCCACUAGAUUAAAAUGUACUGGCUCCAGUGAGCAGGCUGAACAUUUCUUCCUUUUAGUUCUAUGUGCCUCCCUUUACUAUAUAAAGGUUUAGUAGUGAAAAAUGUCUUCCUCCUCAGAAAUCUAAUUAUAUUCCCUAAGCGGAGACUAAGAAAAAGGGCUCAGGGGGAAUAAAAGUAAAGAUGUAACAAUAUUAUUUUAAAAAAUUUAUUAUUAUUAUUUUUGGCCAUGCUGCGCGUGGCUUGCGGGAUCUUAGUUACCCGACCAGGGAUUGAACCCAGGCCCACGGCAGUGGAAGUGUGGAGUCCUAACCACUGGACAGCCAGGGAAUUCCCAAGAUGUAACAAUCUUAAAAGAAAUAAGCUGCACUAGUCUAAGAAGAUGGGCUUAGUGCAAAUGGCUCCAAGUAGGGAAUGAAUCAAAAGUCCGAAGGAGCCCCUUAAGUCCAGGGGAUCUUGCCAAAGUUUUAUAAUUUGGUUUUUUUAAAAGUGUGACUGAAGAAACAUGGACAGAAUUCUUUGAAAAAUUAUGAUCUUUUUUCAACUAACUGCCACAGACUUAAUUUUAUGUCUAAGGGAGUUCACUUUUAUACUCAGCCUACCCAUUUGUCAGUAUUUUGUAACAUUACUUACUUGGCUAUAUUAUGUCUUCGAGUAGAGUUUUCCAGAGGGUUCAUGGGUGACAAAUCUCCUGAGCCUUGGGGUAUUUCUGAUGAUUUUAUAUUUCAACCAUAUAGGAUUCUUAGGUCACAAUUGUUUUCCUUCCAAAUUUUCUAAAUGUUGUUUCACUGUCUUCUGGCCUUAAAUGUUGUCACAGAAAAGUAUGAGGCCAGCCUGGUUUUCUCCCUUCUAUGUGCCUUGCUGUUUUUUUCUUUCAGUUCUAUGUGCCUUGAGAUUUUGCAAAAGUGGUGGUGUUUGCCAUUUCUCCUUUGGAUCGUCCAUGCCCCUAUUCCUUAUGUUGGUCAAAUCUUGGUGUUCUCUUUGGAUCUGACCUAAAUUUCAUUGUGUCUGGCAGAUAUUCUUUAGUCUGUGUAUGGGUACAUGGCAGUUAUCUAGUUUUAUUAUAGAUGAAGCUUCCUCUUCUGGUUUUGUUUGUUUUCAUUUUGGUGAGUUUGAAGUAGUAAAGUACUUACUUCAUGACUUUUUCUAGAAGUUGACAGGGCUCUUUUGACAGAUAGUCAGUUACAGUAGGAGGGCUUAAAUUAGGGAUCUCUAUUUUUCAUUCAGUAAAUACUUACAAGGUAUCUAGUAUAUAAAAAGUACAGUAUUAGGGGGACUUCCCUGGUGGCCCAGUGGUAAAGAAUCCGCCUUCCAAUGCAGGGGAUGCAGGUUCAAUCCCUGGUCGGGGAACUAAGAUCCCACAUGUCAUGGGGCAACUAGGCGCUCAUGCCUCAACUACUGAGCUCACACACCUCAAUGAGAGAGCCCACAUGCCGCAAACUACAGAGCCCACGUGCCCUGAAGCCCACACGCCACAACUAGAGAGAGAAAACCUGCGCUCCACAACUAGAGAGAGGCCUGCAUGCCGCCGUAGCUAGAAAGAGGCCCGUGCAUCGAGGCAAAGACAGAUCCUGUGUGCUGCAACUACGACCCAACACAGCCAAAAAAAGAAUACAGUAUUGGGAGUUAAGGGAUACAAAGAGUCUAUAUGAGGAGUAUUUCGAUAUUCAAGGAAUUUACAGUCUAGUUGAGGAAAAAAGAUGCAGUAAGUGUCACAUGAGCACAUGUAAAGUGAUGGGCGCACAGGGAACAGAGAGGUGGGAGAGAUAAUUUCUGGCUAGGAAAAUUCAAGAAAACUGCAUGAAGCAGUUAGAAUACAUAUUGGACCUUAGAAGUUGGGUAGGAUUUUUACAGGUAAAGAUCUCUAAAGAGAGGCAAUUCAGGCACAGUGAAUGUGAGGGAUAAAGGGAGUGGAAAAGUUAAGGGGCUCAGUGGGUAGGGCAGUGAGAUGAGUGUCGGUAAAGAGGACACUCAGGGUAACAAUGAGAAGCAGCAAUACUGUAUCUUGUUUGGCUUUGAGGGCUGUACUUGCUGCCUGCAGAAAGCAUAGAAAAUCCAGGUGAAAUCCUGGUUCCCCAGCCUGCCUGCAUACUAGACUGCUACCCUAGACUGCUGCUUGGGUCAUUCACCUUGGAAUAGAAGGAAAUGCAGGAGAUGUUAAUCAGGACCAGAGGACCAAAGAUGCAGAACACAGGAUUGACACUGAAGCCUCGACAAUGAAGUUUUCACUAUACUUUGGAUUGCUGAACAUCAUCUGUCAUAUAAAUUGGAAGUGGCAGAAAAUCAGAAAGACAGACAGGCUUCUCUGCAUAGUCUUGCCUACACCUUCCCCAAGGUGGUCCUAUUAGCAUCCUUUAAGCCCUGAGGAUCUUGGGUGGGUGUCCAAGCCACUAUCCAGAAAGUCUUGGCAGCUCACCAAUGCUGGCAGAGAAAAGCAGACUAAGAAUAUGAGAAACUCCUUUCUAGACAAAUUCAUGCUCCUACUGUGCCAUUCAGUCCAGAUGUAAUAGCAUCAGGGUAAUCAAGUCUCACAUGACUGCAAUUUAAUCACCUUUCCUAAAUUUACUAUAAGUAAUUAAACUAA
Molecule: non-coding RNA, 3110 nt
Organism: Kogia breviceps (pygmy sperm whale)
Lineage: Eukaryota; Metazoa; Chordata; Mammalia; Artiodactyla; Physeteridae
Source: RefSeq, a predicted model, not a curated record